AGAGUUUGAUCCUGGCUCAGGAUGAACGCUGGCGGCGUGCUUAACACAUGCAAGUCGAGCGAAGCGGCUGAAUUGAUUCUUCGGAUGAUUUUCAGUUGACUGAGCGGCGGACGGGUGAGUAACGCGUGGGUGACCUGCCCCAUACCGGGGGAUAACAGCUGGAAACGGCUGCUAAUACCGCAUAAGCGCACAGAGCUGCAUGGCUCGGUGUGAAAAACUCCGGUGGUAUGGGAUGGGCCCGCGUCUGAUUAGGCAGUUGGCGGGGUAACGGCCCACCAAACCGACGAUCAGUAGCCGGCCUGAGAGGGCGACCGGCCACAUUGGGACUGAGACACGGCCCAAACUCCUACGGGAGGCAGCAGUGGGGAAUAUUGCACAAUGGGGGAAACCCUGAUGCAGCGACGCCGCGUGAGCGAAGAAGUAUUUCGGUAUGUAAAGCUCUAUCAGCAGGGAAGAUAAUGACGGUACCUGACUAAGAAGCCCCGGCUAACUACGUGCCAGCAGCCGCGGUAAUACGUAGGGGGCAAGCGUUAUCCGGAUUUACUGGGUGUAAAGGGAGCGUAGACGGCAAGGCAAGUCUGAUGUGAAAACCCAGGGCUUAACCCUGGGACUGCAUUGGAAACUGUCUGGCUCGAGUGCCGGAGAGGUAAGCGGAAUUCCUAGUGUAGCGGUGAAAUGCGUAGAUAUUAGGAAGAACACCAGUGGCGAAGGCGGCUUACUGGACGGUAACUGACGUUGAGGCUCGAAAGCGUGGGGAGCAAACAGGAUUAGAUACCCUGGUAGUCCACGCCGUAAACGAUGAUUGCUAGGUGUAGGUGGGUAUGGACCCAUCGGUGCCGCAGCUAACGCAAUAAGCAAUCCACCUGGGGAGUACGUUCGCAAGAAUGAAACUCAAAGGAA
RNAcentral lists this ribosomal RNA (900 nucleotides) under human gut metagenome. Its description in RNAcentral is "bacterial SSU rRNA". It matches the Rfam family "Bacterial small subunit ribosomal RNA", at positions 8 to 909 of the family's 1533-position model. The record is from RNAcentral.